This 473-nucleotide ribosomal RNA is filed under the name uncultured bacterium. RNAcentral's name for it is "bacterial SSU rRNA". It matches the Rfam family "Bacterial small subunit ribosomal RNA", at positions 26 to 507 of the family's 1533-position model. The record is from RNAcentral.
CGAAGGACGAACGCUGGCGGCGUGCCUAACACAUGCAAGUCGAACGAGAUCCAUGGGAGCUUGCUCCCGGAAGAUCUAGUGGCGAACGGGUGAGUAACACGUGAGAAACCUGCCCUGGAGUGGGGAAUAACUCGGGGAAACUCGAGCUAAUACCGCAUACCCUCGGAUGGUCGCAUGGCCGACCGAGGAAAGAUUUAUCGCUCUAGGGGGGUCUCGCGGCCUAUCAGCUAGUUGGUGGGGUAACGGCCUACCAAGGCAACGACGGGUAGCUGGGUUGAGAGAACGAUCAGCCACACUGGGACUGAGACACGGCCCAGACUCCUACGGGAGGCAGCAGUGGGGAAUCUUGCGCAAUGGGCGAAAGCCUGACGCAGCAACGCCGCGUGCGGGAUGACGGCCUUCGUGGUUGUAAACCGCUUUCAGCAGGGACGAAAAUGACGGUACCUGCAGAAGAAGCCCCGGCUAACUACGUG